Molecule: long non-coding RNA, 1790 nt
Organism: Paramacrobiotus metropolitanus
Lineage: Eukaryota; Metazoa; Tardigrada; Eutardigrada; Parachela; Macrobiotidae
Exons: 3
Source: RefSeq, a predicted model, not a curated record
GAAAUGCAGCCGGAGAGCAAAACAACGCUUACCUAGAAGCGGAAACAACUGCUGAGUACAGUUUAUUUACGCCAGUCAGAUUCCCCUUUUGUACCUUGUACUUAUUACGUAGUGUACGAGUAAUUUACUAACCAACAAAGAUAGCCAGAUCUUCAGUAGAGGCGUCCCACCGGGUUAUUGGACAUAUUUUUUCGGUUAAGUGUUGCGAUCCUCGUAAAUUACACUCUCUCUGUUCCAGAACGGAGUAUUAUCAUCCGUAAUCAGGGAAUGCACUUUCGACCACAAUGAAUGUCACCCCCGUCGGUGUUGCUUUAUGCUGAUCCACCGCUUCUCAAAGUCACUCCCGGCGUUCCCGAGCCAUUAUCAAAAUCUGGAGACUUUUGUUUUGUAUACCAUGCUGCUACGCUCCACUCAACGGAUAGAGGAGUUAUUCGUGGAUGGCCCUUAUGUUCUUCAAUAUACCCUUUACUAUCGUCUGCCAAUCGAUCGCCUGGCUGACCGUCACUCUGGCGGUAUUUCGCUUCUGGGCGGUGGUGUUGCCCAAAAAUGACGCGAUGUACUACAAGAUGGCGCUGACGUCCAUUAUUGUCGCGGUAGUCGCGAUAUGCAUUUUUUGAUCUCUAGGAACAGUUUGAAGUCAGGAAAGUGGCAUGAUAUACAUGUAUAUUUUCUUGACGAAGUCGUAUUUGAGUUUCACCAUGAUGCGCCGGAAUACAUGGAUCCAGGAGGUGGCAUCGUGGCGGCGAUGUAAUAUGUACAAGUACAGUAGUGGCGGAUCGGAAUUAUGUCGUGCAACAAUCUGCGCAGUCUGCGAUCCGCAAGUUUCUCAGGUUGUUGUAUGUCAGAUACGAUCCGCAGAAUGUGGAUAACGACCGUCUAUGCGGAUUUUGAAGCCAAACUGCUUCCGUGCUCCUGUCUCUUCAGCCACAGCCAACGGGACGGGAUUUUACAGCGGCUGCAGUAAGGGUCAUCUUCAUCCUUACUGUAGUGAUCUUCAUCCUUACCGACUGUACGACGGGAUUACUGGCGCUCUUUACUUGUUUCUCGAAGUCUCUCCGUGGGCUUGUUCGGCAAUGCCCACGUACCGUUCGGCGAUUUGAUGGAUACACUGCAGUUAGGCAGUCCCCUCGUUUUGAUCAUCUUCUGUUCCCUGAGCGGGGAUAUCCGACGAACGUUUCGUCAGAUGUUGUGGGGCAAAUGAUAAAAGCCAGCGGCGGAAGGACCAGAGCGGGCCGGUUGUUGUAACUUGAAUUAAAUUAAAAAGUUUGUUUCAAAAUCUUAUUCUUCCAUGUUCGCUUCUUAUUGAAGCGAUUUCCCUAUAGCUAUAUGCCGGUUUCUUUGUAUACGGUCAUACACGAUUUUUCUGUGUACGGCAACGCUUUUAAUGGUUCAAGCUACGCUAGGUAAAGAAAAUACAUUUUUAAUAGAAAAUUUUAUUUCUAAGGUUCAAUUUUCAAAAAUGAUUUUAGCGCAAUGUGUAAAGCAGUAGGGAUGAAUGUGUUUUACCAAGAACUCGAAAAAUGUGUUUUACCAAGAACUGUGUCUCGAAAAAAUCCGGAAGUGUGUCCCAACUGGCGGAAAAUUCCAAGCGCCGGACUUAUUCUUUUCUGGAAUACGGUUACCUCUUUUAUCCCCUGGUUAUUGAGACACUGGGAGUUUUUGGCCCUGCCUUCAGUGAAAUGCUGCGUUUCCUGGGCCGCAAGAUUCGGGACAUAACAGGCGAAGCGCGUUCUACUGCUUUUCUCAAGCAGCGUUUUAGUUUAGCUGUUGUUAAAGGAAAUGCUACGGCU